GCAGUCGCCGCGGGAAUACAGAGGGUGCAAGCGUUAAUCGGAAUUACUGGGCGUAAAGCGCGCGUAGGUGGUUUGUUAAGUUGGAUGUGAAAUCCCCGGGCUCAACCUGGGAACUGCAUCCAAAACUGGCAAGCUAGAGUAUGGUAGAGGGUGGUGGAAUUUCCUGUGUAGCGGUGAAAUGCGUAGAUAUAGGAAGGAACACCAGUGGCGAAGGCGACCACCUGGACUGAUACUGACACUGAGGUGCGAAAGCGUGGGGAGCAAACAGGAUUAGAUACCCCGGUAGUCCCUGUCUCUUAUA
This 301-nucleotide ribosomal RNA is filed under the name uncultured bacterium. Its description in RNAcentral is "partial 16S ribosomal RNA". It matches the Rfam family "Bacterial small subunit ribosomal RNA", at positions 508 to 808 of the family's 1533-position model. The record is from RNAcentral.